UGGAGUCUGGUUAUUGUAGAAGUCCUGCUACUGGAGAAGCCCAGACAUUGAUGAAGUCUGAAAGAAGCUCGAAGUAAAGUUGAUUGUGACAGGAGGAAGUCUGGAAGAGAUUCGGAGAGUAGUCGAUCACUGUAGAAAAUCGACUGAUAAUGAAGCCCAGAGAGCAUUUGGAGCAAUCCGAUAAAUGACUGAAGGAGCUCAUUAUCAGAGAAGUCCAGAGGGUAUGAUAGGAGUUUGUCCCUUGGAGGAAUCUGGAGGACACUAUGGAAGGUCGACUGCUGGAGGAGUCCGAAUAGUAUUGUGGAAGCUCAGAUGGUCGGGAAAGUUUAGAAAGAUGUCGCACA
This 344-nucleotide long non-coding RNA is filed under the name Elaeis guineensis (African oil palm). RNAcentral describes it as "long non-coding RNA (EGUI_LNC054499)". Lineage: Eukaryota; Viridiplantae; Streptophyta; Magnoliopsida; Arecales; Arecaceae. The record is from RNAcentral.